Molecule: long non-coding RNA, 725 nt
Organism: Neofelis nebulosa (Clouded leopard)
Lineage: Eukaryota; Metazoa; Chordata; Mammalia; Carnivora; Felidae
Exons: 3
Source: RefSeq, a predicted model, not a curated record
GUGCUAGCAGUGCAUAGUCUCUUUUGGGUUCUCUCUCACCCUCUCUCUGCCCCUCCCCCACCUAAUAAAUAAAUAAAAUUAGAAAAAAAAAGAUUCAGAGGAAGAAAUACUCUAUCCCCACCCUGGAACCUAAGGCACUCACUAGAACAGUACCUGAGGAUGGGAAUAAAGUGUGUCUUUCCCCAUUUUACCUACCAGGCUCAACAUAUGGUACACACCCCAUAAUAUUGACUGUCUCUUCUCUUUCAUAGUCAUCCUCCUACUAUUGGAAACUUUGUUGAAGAAACAUGGGAAGAUUUAGAAAUUUAUAAUUUGCAAUCCAGCCCUCAAAAUACCAGGAAAGUACAACUAGUCCUUCUGGGGAUGUUUUCUCAAUUCUUCUUCAGAUUUCAUAGAAGAAACCUGAGGUCUGUGAUUAAAAGAAGAAACCAAGGCUCAAGGAGAUUAAGUAAUUUGCCUACAACUGCAUCACUUAGGAGGUGAAGCCAGAGCCUGAAGAAAGCAGUUUGAAGAAGGCAACCUUCCUCCAAGUCCUUCACCUACACUUUAGAUUUAUCUUCCUUGCUAGCUUUUGAAGUGUCUGAAAAAUGGGGGGCCUGGGUGGCUCAGUUGGUUGAGGGUCAUGAUCUCACUGUGAUCUGUGAGUUCUGUGAGUUCGAGCCCUGUGCCGGGCUCUAUGACGACAGCUCAGAGCCUGGAGCCUGUUUCAGAUUCUGUGUCUCCCU